This 253-nucleotide ribosomal RNA is filed under the name uncultured bacterium. RNAcentral describes it as "partial 16S ribosomal RNA". It matches the Rfam family "Bacterial small subunit ribosomal RNA", at positions 524 to 776 of the family's 1533-position model. The record is from RNAcentral.
UACGUAGGGUGCAAGCGUUGUCCGGAAUUAUUGGGCGUAAAGAGCUCGUAGGCGGUUUGUCGCGUCUGCUGUGAAAUCCCGAGGCUCAACCUCGGGCUUGCAGUGGGUACGGGCAGACUAGAGUGCGGUAGGGGAGAUUGGAAUUCCUGGUGUAGCGGCGGAAUGCGCAGAUAUCAGGAGGAACACCCGUGGCGAAGGCGGCUCUCUGGGACGGUACUGACGCUGAGACGCGGAAGCGUGGGGAGCGAACAGG